This is a long non-coding RNA of Oncorhynchus tshawytscha (Chinook salmon), 2062 nucleotides long. RefSeq lists it as uncharacterized. The record is from RefSeq and is a predicted model, not a curated record. NCBI's taxonomy places the organism in Eukaryota, Metazoa, Chordata, Actinopteri, Salmoniformes, Salmonidae. The transcript is spliced from 2 exons.
UUUUCAGUCGGUUAGUGUGACCUCCGUAUGGCAACAGGUAGCCUAGUGGUUAAGAGUGUUUGGGCCAGUAACCAAAAGGUUAUUGGUUCGAAUCCCUGAGCCGACUAGGGGAAAAACAUAUGUUGACGUUUCUUUGAGCGAAGCACUUAACCCUAACUGCUCUGGAUAAGAGCGUCUGCGAAAUGACUAACAUGUAUAUUUCUGUCUGAUUGGAUAAGAUGCUAAAUGACUAAUGUGUAUAUUUCUGUCUGAUUGGAACACCAAAAUAAGACAUUUUAGAGUAUAUAUAUAUAUAUAUAUAUACACUCUUCUUUUUUUUAAAGCACAAAGGAAUAUUAGGCACAAGAUCACAUCAAAACUCACUAUGAUACUAGUCAUACAAAGAUAAUAUCCUAUCACUGAAACACUAGACAACACAAGGCAAUGUGGGGGAGAGAGAGGAGAGAAACAGAGAGAGGGGGGGAGAGAGGUAAGAAACAGAGAGAGAAGGGAAAAGAUAAUAUCCUAUCACUGAAACACUAGACAACUCAAGGCAAUGUGGGGGAGAGAGAGGAGAGAAACAGAGAGAGAGGUGAGAAACAGAGAGAGAAGGGAAAAGAUAAUAUCCUCUCACUGAAACACUAGACAACACAAGGCAAUGAGCUCUUGGUGUUGGAACAGUGUCAUCUUGGAAUGAGAAAUGCAUCAUUUUGAACACGGGGUAUCACACCAUGUAUUUACCAGUAGUAACUCUCUAAGACAGAGUCAGCUCUACAGAGACACCCGUAAGGCCUGGGGGCUGCUAUCACACCAUGUGUACCAGUAGUAACUCUCUAAGACAGAGUCAGCUCUACAGAGACACCCGUAAGGCCUGGGGGCUGCUAUCACACCAUGUGUACCAGUAGUAACUCUCUAAGACAGAGUCAGCUCUACAGAGACACCCGUAAGGCCUGGGGGCUGCUAUCACACCAUGUGUACCAGUAGUAACUCUCUAAGACAGAGUCAGCUCUACAGAGACACCCGUAAGGCCUGGGGGCUGUGAGACCUCUCUCUGUUCUCUGUAUUCCUCCAAGAGGAAAUGCUGUUGUGCUUUAAAGGACUUUGAGGGCUCCAUCCAAUCCGUACCGCGGUAGUUCAGCGCUAUGCUGGGAUUGAAAUGUGAUGGUUUACCAUGAAUGCAUUAUUUCACGAAUUAGGGAACAUUGCCUUUUUAAAUUUCAAUUGCGCUAUAGUGCUGAAUUUACGCAAUACAGUUACAAUGCAUCAUCCCUAAAUAUAACAUGACAAUGGACUGACAGAGGGGGUGUCCCUACACAACGCCCCACACCCCCACUAAUGUCAGUCCCUACACAACGCCCCACACCCCCUAUAAUGUCAGUCCCUCUAAUGUCAGUCCCUACACCACACCCCCUCUGUCAGUCCCCACACCCCCUCUGUCAGUCCCUACACAACGCCCCACACCCCCACUAAUGUCAGUCCCUACACAACGCCCCACACCCCCUAUAAUGUCAGUCCCUCUAAUGUCAGUCCCUACACCACACCCCCUCUGUCAGUCCCCACACCCCCUCUGUCAGUCCCUACACAACGCCCCACACCCCCACUAAUGUCAGUCCCUACACAACGCCCCACACCCCCUCUAAUGUCAGUCCCUCUAAUGUCAGUCCUUACACCACACCCCCUCUGUCAGUCCCCACACCCCUCUGUCAGUCCCUACACCCCCUCUGUCAGUCCCUACACCCCCUCUGUCAGUCCCUACACCCCCUCUGUCAGUCCCCACACCCCCUCUGUCAGUCCCUAAACCCCCUCUGUCAGUCCCUACACCCCCUGUCAGUCCCUACACCCCCUCUGUCAGUCCCUACACCCCUCUGUCAGUCCCUACACCCCUGUCAGUCCCUACACCACACCCCCUCUGUCAGUCCCUACACCCCCUCUGUCAGUCCCUACACCCCCUCUGUCAGUCCCCACACCCCCUCUGUCAGUCCCUACACCCCAUAAGAAGAUGAAGAAAAUGAAAAACACAAAUAAGAUGAUAUUGUAUUCCCUGUUAUUCACUGUUUGCUGUUUAAUAAAAUGAGAUGUCCUA